This is an RNA transcript of Quercus robur (English oak), 1460 nucleotides long. It is a transcript of the gene named 5-formyltetrahydrofolate cyclo-ligase-like protein COG0212, with no coding region annotated. Lineage: Eukaryota; Viridiplantae; Streptophyta; Magnoliopsida; Fagales; Fagaceae. The record is from RefSeq and is a predicted model, not a curated record. The transcript has 7 exons.
UUAAAACAAUGGUUAUUAUAUUAGGCCGUUCAGGUCCAACCAUCAAAAAUUAAUCGUUAGCCACUCACACGGAGCGGUGGGUUUGAGAAAAUAAAGUCGAAGCUGUGGUGGUACUGCAUGUAUGCUAAUGCUAAUGCCACUGCUACAAAUUAGAAAAUGGAUUCAAGUCUGUUCCGAUUAUCAACUCCAACGUUUACGCUGCCAAGAGCAAGGCCCAGCCUUUCCCAUAAAAGAAUUCAUUGUCAGAAUCAGAGUCAGAGUGAGAACGUGGCGUUCGACGAAGCGGCUUUCGAGGCCGAGAGACUCAGCCUUGACGCCAAGGAUCGUGAAACGAUGAUGGCUCAGUCUAGUAGUAGUAGUAGUAGUAACGGUGGUGACCCGAAAGCUUGGAAAUGGGUAAUCCGAAAGAGAAUUUGGGAUACGAUGGAAGCCCUCAAUAUUGCUCAGAAUCCCAGACCUGUUCACCACCGGAUUCCCAAUUUCGUCGCUGCUUCAACUGCUGCCAAAAAUUUAAGUAAGUUGAAGGAGUUUGGGGUUGCCAACUGUGUAAAGGUUAACCCGGAUUCGCCUCAGAAACAAGUUAGAUUUCUCACACUUUCUGGUGGAAAGAAGUUGUUAACUCCUCAGCCCCGAUUAAGGACUGGGUUUUUCUCUGUUCUUGAAUCCCAUAUGUUAACUCCUAGUGCCAUCUAUGAGGCUUGCACCUCUGUUGGGGUUGCCAAGUAUGGCCGGUCUAUUGGACUAGAUGAAAAGAUAAAGGUGGAUCUAAUUGUUAUUGGCUCAGUUGCUGUUGACCCAAAGACAGGUGCUCGACUUGGCAAGGGUGAGGGAUUUGCAGAACUUGAAUAUGGGAUGCUGCGCUACAUGGGAGCCAUUGAUGACUCAACACCAGUUGUCACAUCUGGCCUAGAGAGGAACACAAUGGAUCUAUCACAAAUGGAGAGGAUCCUACAUUUUUCUCUAUCCUUUUCUUUACAUUCAAUAGGUGCACGAUUGUCAAUUGGUAGAUGAUAUUCCAGUUGAGAAACUGUUAAUCCAUGAUGUGCCAGUAGACAUCAUAUGCACUCCCACCCAGGUCAUUUAUACCAACACGUGUAUUUCAAAGCCUCAAGGAAUUUACUGGGACAAGUUGUCACCUGAGAAGCUGGGAAAAAUUCGAAUACUGAGAGAGCUGAAGAGCAGAAUUGAACAAGAGACAGGGCAGAAACUUCCUUGUGGUCCUUCUGAGAAACUGCCACCCUCAGCUCCUCGGAGGCGCUAACUUAUUUUACAAUAUAACUUGGGGAUAAAUGGAAGAAUAUAAAAAGAAAGAAAGCCAAACCAAAUGCAACUUUUAUUUAUUUAUUUUAAUAUGAGAAAAUAUGACUUAAUAUCAGAGACGUGAAUGUGAGGAAUGAGUGAUCAUUCAUUAUUCUAAUUCAAUUGUAUAUACCCUUUAUUCACUAGCCUACAAAGAAAAA